Molecule: RNA transcript, 3797 nt
Organism: Salvia splendens (bonfire salvia)
Lineage: Eukaryota; Viridiplantae; Streptophyta; Magnoliopsida; Lamiales; Lamiaceae
Gene name: putative late blight resistance protein homolog R1A-10
Exons: 3
Source: RefSeq, a predicted model, not a curated record
UCGGCCAUAACUUAUAUACUGCUUUCAAUUUCCCUCCACCAAUAUUCCUAAAUUUUCAUCAAUGCAAAUAACAACCACUUCUAUACGAUUCCGGUUUUCUUUUCUUUCCUUUCCUUUCCACGAGCUAAUGAAGUGGAAUGUGGAGUGUAGAGGAAGUUGAAUCUUAUACGCUCCACCAAAUUCUGAAGGGUUUAAACUGUACCUUGUUUUUUUAUUUUGAUUAUUUCACUUGCUGUGUUUAUGCGGUUGACUUGCUCUCAAUUACAAGUCUUUAUCAACUAUUUGAUCCAGUUAGGUGUUUGCUCGUGUGUGGAGCUGAUUGUUGAAUUUGUUGUGUGGAUUAUUAGAAAUCGAUAUGGCUUAUGCUGCUUUGGAUUCUCUGCAACAUACUAUUAACCGCCUCCUGCAUUCUUCUGUCAUUUCGAUUGUUUCCCCUGGUUCAAAAAUGAUAACAUCUGCUUACCGUGAAUUGUUUUUCUUGAAACAAGUUGUAGAAAAAUUAGAUAGCAUUGGCAGAGAGAUAGAUGACGAUGUCGACGGACUCAUCAGAGAGGCAGUGUUUAAACUAGAAGAUGCAAUCGAAUUCCAUGUAUCAGAUCUGUUUGGAAGCUGCGGAGAUGAAGGUUUCCCUUUGAUGCUCUCCCUAGACUCGGAGGAACUGCAUCUGGUGAUGAAAUCCUUCACUGAAAUGGUCAAAUUUUCCAAGAAUUACAGUAAACAAUUCACCUCCCCUGAAGAGGAUGAGUUUGUUGCUUCAGAGGUAGCUGACUCUGGCGCAAAGAGGCCAGAGAUGGUUGGAUUAGCUGAUGAACUCAGGAGAAUCAAGACAUCUCUCACAACUUGGAUGACUGAUCAGCUCUGUGUUGCCUCGAUAGAAGGAAUGGCGGGCAUUGGUAAGACUAUACUUGCUAAAGAAGCUUUUGAAGAUCCAUUUGUUUGUCGAUGUUUUGAUAUAAGUGUGUGGAUCAGUGUAGGACACAAAUACCAGUUAAAAAGAAUUAUACUAGGUAUCCUAGCUCAAAUUAAUCCUCGCAUUGAUAGUCAUCUUAGGGAAGGUGAUGCGAAGUUGAUUGAGUGCUUAAAUGAGAGUUUGAAGGGUAAGAGGUAUCUUAUUGUGUUAGAUGAUGUGUGGAAUUUGGAGGUUCGUGAUUUUGUAAAUAAGCUUCUUCCAGAGGAGAAAAAUGGAAGUAGGGUCUUGCUAACAACUAGGCUACAUGAUGUAUCACAUUUCUCCUACAUGACUUCAAUUCAUCGGGUGCGUUUCAUGACCAAGGAAGAAAGUUGGUCUCUUCUUCGUAUGAAGGUUUUUGGUAAUGAGUGGUGCCCUCCUCCACUUGAGAAAGUGGGGAGGAAGAUUGCAGCCAUUUGUGAAGGUCUUCCUCUUGCAGUUGUCAUGGUAGCCGGUAUCUUAUCUAAAGCAGAGAAGACUGUGGAGUAUUGGAACGAAGUGGCAGAAAAAAGGAAUUCGGUUUUCAAAGAUGCAUAUGAUAAUAUGUAUGAGGUAUUAUAUCCAAGCUAUAAGCACUUGCCUAUACAUUUGAAAAUGUAUUUUCUUUAUAUGGGAAUUUUCCCUGAAAAUUACCAUAUUCCGAUUUCAAAGCUUUUCCAAUUGUGGGUUGCUGAGGGGUUUCUAAGAAUAUCUCAGACAAAAGUUUACGAAAUUAUGACUGUGGAGUGGUUGGAAGAGCUUGUUUCCAGAAGCAUCAUCAUAAUCCCUCAAAGGGGCUCUAAUUACAGAUUUAAAACCUGCAAGCUCCACUCUGCCUUUUGGUAUCUGUGUAUUAGAGAAGCUGGGAAGAAGAAGUUCCUCCACAUCAUGAACAACUAUUCUGAUGGUUUUGCAGAAGGUAUGAAAGAUCAACGUCGGCUGUGCAUCCACAAUGGCGUCUUAUUCGGAAUCAAAGAUGUGCAUGACUCUAUGGCUUCCGUCUCAGCUUUGCGCUCGCUCCUAUGUACUGGUCCACCUCAUCCAUAUCCAGUUCCCAUGUGUUUUGAGUUGAGGCUGCUGAGGGUGCUCGAUGCUCUUGCAAUCCGUUUCUAUGAAUUCCCUGCUGAAGCACUGAAACUGGUUCAUCUGAGGUACCUCGCCCUCACUUGUAAUGGCACCCUUCCUGCAUCAAUAUCCCUACUUCCGAGCAUCUGUUUCCUUAUAAUCCGUUGUCAUUUAAGCUUGAGACCACCUGGAGAGUGGCUGUAUCUGCCAAAGGAGAUAUGGGAUAUGCAAGAAUUGGUGCAUCUUCAAAUCAUGGGAGGCAACCUACCUAAUCCCAAUGGUUCUGUCUUGGAAAACCUCUUAACACUCUCAGACCUGAAUGCUCGGAGUUGUAGGAAAGAGGUUCUAGAAGGAGUCCCUCAUCUAAAAAAGUUAGGAAUUCAAAUUGAAUUGGAGCCCGAUACUGAUGCUACUGAUCCAUUUUCCUGCUUCGAUCAUAUCUCCCAUCUCUACUUUCUAAACUCCCUUAAAUGUGUCGUUGUGAAUCCAGAUCUGUCAAAUGGGAUUCCCAUCCCAUCCCCUCUUCCAAACUUCCCCAAGCGUCUCAAAAAGCUGAGCUUGAGUGGCUUCGGAUAUCCGUGGGAAUGCUUGAGAAAGAUUGGUCUGAUGCCUAACCUUGAAGUGCUUAAACUGCGAUGCUACGCCUUUCAAGGUCCAGAGUGGGAACUGCGAGAGGGGGAGUUCUUGAAACUCAAAUUUUUGCUACUCGAAGAUAAUGAUCUAGUGCGAUGGAGAGCUGAUGAUCCUUGCUUCCCUUGUCUCGAGCAUGUGAUCCUUCGCCACUGCUACGAGUUAGAGGAGGUUCCAUGGGGGUGGCUGACUUCGGUUCAAGAGGUUGAGCUAGUCGACUGCUACCCUUCAUCGCUACAGCAAAUGCCAGAUUAUCAGAUGCAGCUAGGAAAUGUCAGUGUUCAUUCUUCAUGGGAAGGGAGUCAAACUCUAACCGGGGCUCAUCCCGAGACCACAUCGGAAACGCAGUCGACACUAACAUGACUGCAAUAUUAGUUUGAUAUUGUCCGCUUCGGAAACGCAGUCGACACACUAACAUGACUGCAACAUAUGAUCCUUGCUUCCCUUGUCUCGAGCAUGUGAUCCUUCGCCACUGAUACGAGUCAGAGGAGGUUCCACGGGGGCGGCUGACUUCGGUUCAAGAGGUUGAGCUAGUCGACUGCUACCCUUCAUCGCUACAGCAAAUGCCAGAUUAUCAGAUGCAGCUAGGAAAUGUCAGUGUUCAUUCUUCAUGGGAAGGUGGGACUAUUUCUGAUUCAUAUUUUUAAUUACGUUAUUGACUUAUAUUCAAGUUAGUUAUAUGUCAUCUGGAUUUGUUUUUGUUUUUGGGUCACUCCCAAAAGGGAGUCAAACUCUAACCGGGGCUCAUCCCGAGACCACAUCUGAAACGCAGUCGACACUAACAUGACUGCAAUAUUAGUUUGAUAUUGUCCGCUUCGGAAACGCAGUCGACACACUAACAUGACUGCAACAUAUGAUCCUUGCUUCCCUUGUCUCGAGCAUGUGAUCCUUCGCCACUGAUACGAGUUAGAGGAGGUUCCACGGGGGCGGCUGACUUCGGUUCAAGAGGUUGAGCUAGUCAACUGCUACCCUUCAUCGCUACAGCAAAUGCCGGAUUAUCAGAUGCAGCUAGGAAAUGUCAGUGUUCAUUCUUCAUGGGAAGAGCUACCCAGAUUGUGAAUGAUCAUGGCUGAUGGUCCAUCCAUGCAUAUUUGAUCUGUGGUCAUCAUUUCGGAGUGUGUAUUCAAGAAUUUUGAUUUGAAGCCAUUUAUGCAUUUUCUAUGUUAAAAAUUCA